AGCUAUGUGCGGAAGGGAUAAGUGCUGAAAGCAUCUAAGCAUGAAGCCCCCCUCAAGAUGAGAUUUCCCAUAGCGUUAAGCUAGUAAGAUCCCUGAAAGAUGAUCAGGUUGAUAGGUUCGAGGUGGAAGCGUGGUGACACGUGGAGCUGACGAAUACUAAUAGAUCGAGGACUUAACCAU
This 180-nucleotide ribosomal RNA is filed under the name Bacillus sp. 103mf. RNAcentral's name for it is "23S rRNA. Bacterial LSU". It matches the Rfam family "Bacterial large subunit ribosomal RNA", at positions 2747 to 2925 of the family's 2925-position model. Lineage: Bacteria; Bacillati; Bacillota; Bacilli; Caryophanales; Bacillaceae. The record is from RNAcentral.